AUUUGGGAUAUCGUGAAUGUAGUAGUUACGUGAGAAAAUUCAUUCAAUGGAUAAAUCGAAUCAAUCAUAUCAAUAUGCGGUGUAAUAAACUUCAUUCUAAAGGAACCGUCUGAUUCUUUUCUAUGCUAUUUGAUUCGCGUAGUGGGUUUGGUUGAGGGAUCUGCAUAGUCCUAUCAAAUGACAAAGAUACGUUUCAGCAGGUGACUGGUAGAGACAAAAAAGGUAGCAACAAACUACAAAUCUAUUCCUCACAAACUGGAACAACACAAUAAAGCAUAACAUUUGGUUUUAAAAAAAAGGGCGAUUUCAUUUCUAUGUUACAGGUUGCGCCAACAAAAAACU
Bradysia coprophila is the source of this 342-nucleotide long non-coding RNA. The record is from RefSeq and is a predicted model, not a curated record. Lineage: Eukaryota; Metazoa; Arthropoda; Insecta; Diptera; Sciaridae.